CUAGCCACCAUCCUCUUCUGCCCCUCACGCUCGCGCCCGCCGCCAACAGCUGCCCUCACGCUCGCGCCAAUCCCUGCCCCCAUCUCUCCCCCAAUCCCCUCCUCCAUCUCCUCCUUAAUCCCCUCCAGUUUCUCUUCGCCCCUUCUCCUCCUAUAUUCUUCUCCAUGGAUGCAGAGGCAAAGGGAACCAUGGCUUCAUGGAUGAGGAGGUGGAGCUCGAUGUGGAGGAGCACCCGGGAGGUCCCAGCAGCGCCCCAUGGAGGAUUUUCUCGCCAUCUACGCACCAUGCCCAGGUUGAAGGUGUGCAGGGAAGGUGUUUGUGUAAAUGCCUAAGGGCAAAACUGCUAUGGAAAGAUGAUAAUUUAUGUGCAUCUAGACAAAUCCAAGUUGUGGUAAGCCAUCCAUGCAGCUCGAGAAGCUGAUGCCCUCACACCUGUCAAGGAGAGGCUCCUCCAACCUUGGCGCCCUUCUCUCUGCCCGUCUUCCUCUCCCUAAGCUCGUGUCGCUGCGCCGCGACAUCACACAAAAUCGACAAUGUGGACGACAUGAUGGUGAAGCGGUCGACGGAUAAGGGGAUUAGCCAUCGGAAAAGAAUUUAGCGCUGCCCAGGCGCUGUAGUGAGCGGAGUCACGGAUAGCUGCACCAACUCGAGGCCAAUCCUAAUGUGACGCUGCCAGCCAGAACCGAGAGGAAGAUAAGGUGGAGAGGGACGGGACGGGGGAGAAGGCCUGCAUCCUCAUCGACGACGAAGAUGGGGAGGAUGCAAAGAUGGCUUCUUCUUCUUCAUCCAGGACCUGCAGAUUAUGUAGGUAGUUCGCUGGGUAACAAACUGGAGGAACGAGAUUGGUGCGAGCUGGCAAUGCGGAGAUUCAAGAGGAGUGCACUGUCGCGACUUGCAACAUGAGGAGCUCUGUCACCAUCUCCGACUUCUCCCAUCUACAUGGUUGUGAGUGCAUUCACCCAAUAUUGAGGUCUGUUAUGGAAGAAGAACAUGAAGUUCUAUAGAAGAUUAGGCCUAAUCUUCAUGUUCUACAUGUAGUGUGUGCUCUGGAGCUCUGCGCCACGACCGACAAAGUGGGAGACAUGCAGCACUGCAUGCUGGCUACCACUUCCCUCCAUCAGCGCUUAGGGAGACUUCAAGCACAUGGAGGACAUGAAGCACAUGGUGGCCUCCGAGACGCUCCCCGACUCCGACCAGAAGCUGCAGUAUAUUGCACCACCUGACAGAUUGGUUGCCAUCUGCUCGGCAACAUUGGGUAUCUGUGCAAUUAGGUAGUGUAUACCGUAGCUCAGACAAUCACCAAAAGGGGUGGGAUUGGACACCCUGUAGCAAACAAGGUUUAGGAGCCACUAUGCAUUGCAGUUGUUGUACCACAAAUGUCGUCUUCCUUCACAUAUUUACUAUCGAACUCCACUUUAUUAAAUACGUAAUAGGAUGAUGAUGUGAACAUCUUGGGUGGCAACAAAUAAAGUUUCGGUUGUAUUUAUUCUAGGUUCUUCACGAAUUUCAGUCAGGACAAUCUGCUGACUAUAUAAACAUCAGAUAUCGCACCACAUGCCACCAGCUCAAGAAGAGUCGCACCUUGAAAAAAUAGCGCCAUGACCUGGCAGGAUGUCGUGCUACGCCAAAUACUACUGUUAUGUCUGUGGUGGCCAAGAUGACAAUUGCGUGUUCUUAAAAUGAGAUUAUACAGGGAAACCUUAUGAAUCAAGUAGUGCGCUGAUGAGGUUAAUAGGUUUUUAUGGACGUGAGAGGGAUAAGCUUCAGCUACGUAUUCCAAACAAGGUUAUAUUGAGGCUUGGACAUACCAGAGAUCAACCCGUCGAGAAGCAUGCAUAUACCAGGAAACCAAAGAAACAGCCUAGAAGCAUGCGGUUUGUCCAGGACGAGCACUGCACCUGCAAUGGAAAAUAUAAGCCACUUAUCUACACUGCCAGAAGUAUCUACGUUAGCUCCAAGGAAAAACACUUGGUUAAUAUGGAGCACUCCUGGUCUACUGUAAUAUUAACAAUCACUCUGUAAUUGUAACAAGUUCCUCUCUUGGUUUGCUAUCAUGGCUACUGCACUGGGAUAAUAGUGUUUUCAUACAAUGUUGAGUUUCAUGCUACACCAUAUGCUUCGAAUCGACACAUGAAUAUAUAGAUCCAGCUGACUCAAUCAUUCUUAUAAGUGCAUAUCAGUACAGUUUGCUAUCACCCUACGAUGCAGACUUGAAUGUACUUACAUAUAGGCUCCUUUUUACAUGCAGACUCA
This is a long non-coding RNA of Lolium perenne, 2253 nucleotides long. RefSeq lists it as uncharacterized. Lineage: Eukaryota; Viridiplantae; Streptophyta; Magnoliopsida; Poales; Poaceae. The record is from RefSeq and is a predicted model, not a curated record.